AUUAAAUUAUAGAUAUUAUUAUUUUUGUUUUUUAUUUGAAUUAUUAUCAUUCCGCAAAGAUUAAUGAAUGUUUGAGCUGCAUUACAUAUGAAUCAUAAAUACAGUUGUGUUGGGUUUGUGUGUAGUUUAAGGUAUAUCUAAGGGGUGGGAGAAAGCUUUAGAUAUAUCUGAGUAAGGAAAAAAGUAAAAUAUAUUCAAGUGAUGGGAGCAGGGCUUGAAUAUAAUGAGGUGAUGGGAGCAGGGCCUCUAAUGAAAAGUGAAAGUUGAGAAAUUCGUAAACAAAAGAAAACUGGGUUAAGGGACGGAUGAACGCUAGUUCAUAUUUUAGGGUAUUCGAAGCCACAUUGGUAAAACGCAUGGUAUGAGACAUGCAUGCUUGUUUCCCUAAGGUAUGAGUUAGUGGGAUUAGAAAGGAGUGAAUUCAUGACAUCACUGCAUAUACAAGUUUAUUUAUUUGGUGUGGUUGCAUAAUUUAUGUCUCUUGUAAUUGUUUAAUGCAUGUCACUUUGAUUAGCAGUGAUAACUGACUUUGAGGGGGAAAUGUUACAGUACUCUAUUGGGUAUUAAAAUGCUCACACCCUAAUAGAUGUUGCAGGUUCCAAUGAAAAUCCUAAGGAAGAAGAAGAAGUUCCACCAUAGGUCUAGACAGGGGUGGCCCUGAGGGUGUGCAAGUGGUGCCAUCGCAC
Molecule: long non-coding RNA, 686 nt
Filed under: Prunus persica (peach)
Lineage: Eukaryota; Viridiplantae; Streptophyta; Magnoliopsida; Rosales; Rosaceae
Description: long non-coding RNA (PPER_LNC000081)
Source: RNAcentral